RNAcentral lists this ribosomal RNA (454 nucleotides) under uncultured bacterium. Its description in RNAcentral is "bacterial SSU rRNA". It matches the Rfam family "Bacterial small subunit ribosomal RNA", at positions 340 to 786 of the family's 1533-position model. The record is from RNAcentral.
UACGGAAGGCAGCAGUGGGGAAUAUUGCACAAUGGGCGCAAGCCUGAUGCAGCCAUGCCGCGUGUAUGAAGAAGGCCUUCGGGUUGUAAAGUACUUUCAGUCGUGAGGAAGGUGUUAAGGUUAAUAACCUUAGCAAUUGACGUUAGCGACAGAAGAAGCACCGGCUAACUCCGUGCCAGCAGCCGCGGUAAUACGGAGGGUGCGAGCGUUAAUCGGAAUUACUGGGCGUAAAGGGCACGCAGGCGGUUAAUUAAGUUGGAUGUGAAAUCCCCGGGCUUAACCUGGGAAUGGCAUUCAAGACUGGUUAGCUAGAGUCUUGUAGAGGGGGUAGAAUUCCAUGUGUAGCGGUGAAAUGCGUAGAGAUGUGGAGGAAUACCGGUGCGAAGGCGGCCCCUGGACAAAGGACUGACGCUCAUGUGCGAAAGCGUGGGGAGCGAAACAGGGAUUAGAUACC